UAGCGGUGCCGCGGCGCGUCCCUCAGCUGAGGGAGCUUGCUCGGAGCUAGGAACUGCCGAAGGUCCGGAUCAGCUGGCAAGAAACACCUGCCUGUAGAUGCUUUCCUCUGGAAAAAACAUUCUGGGAACCCGGGCUUGAGGAAUCACGCUUGUGCCUCCAUCACUUCAUGCAGACCUAAUCCUGAGGUGGGAUUGUCCUUGGAGGAGCACGGCACCCGCCCUGCCUCUCAGAGCUGUGGUUCCCAGCUCUCUGUGCCAGCUCAGUAAGGCAGGAUGCCCACCCGCGCAGUGUACGUGUUCUCCAGUCUCAGCUAGACAAGGAAAAACGCAUCUCUUACCCGCUGCUUGUCCUGCUAACAGCAUGGGCAGGGAGCUCCUGCUCUGCGUGCUCCAGAGAUGCACACUAAUAUCCAAACAAGCUGGGGUUUCACAAUUAGUAGUUUCAGCACAAGAGGAAUCCCACAGACUUCAGCAGAAGCAGCACGGCACAGACAGCGCGGUGUAACGCUGUACAGCCCUCGGACAAGCACCACGGCAAGGGCAUUUGGCAAGCACCGCUGUAGCAUUUGGCACUGGAACAGAAAACAGAAACCUGCCAGCGCUUUGAAGGGAGCACCUCCCUCCCCUCCUUGCCACUGGAUCCUUUCAGUUAUUCUUCCUUAUCUCAUCAGGAUAGGUGCCAGAACUGAAAAGAUUCACUUUGUGGGGAGGAUGGAGCGGGGAAAGGAUUAUUUUAUGCUUGUUUUGUUCUUCUGCGCUUUCUUUAAGCUUCCCUGGCCACUGCCAGAGACAGGAGCCUGGGCUUGUCCAACCUUUCAUCUGAGUCAGUACAGGGAGCCUGAUGUUCACUUCUCAGCUGGCACGACAGGAAAACAACAACGACAAAAAAAAAAAUCCACAUUUGUACUCUUCUGCAGUCGCUGUCACUAAAAUCCCCAGCUGUUGUCAGCGAGAGCUAAUAUUAAUACCAGGAAAGGCUGAAAUGACUGCAGCAGAGCAUAUUUGUGAGGCUCUAUUUGAGGCACAUCCUGCAUUCCUCAAGUGUCGGCAGGAGCGGGUGCAAAAUGCCUGCACAUCCUGGCUCCCCCUGCCCGGGGGCUCCGCACUGCAUUGCUGUCCUUCCCCCCCCACGGUAUUCGCACAGGACAGCCUGGCAAUCACCUGAUUUUGGGGAAAGCUACCGGAAAGUUGCCUAUGUGCAACCCUUCAGGUAACGCCGUUACUCACAUAUUUCCACCU
This is a non-coding RNA of Anas platyrhynchos (mallard), 1239 nucleotides long. NCBI's taxonomy places the organism in Eukaryota, Metazoa, Chordata, Aves, Anseriformes, Anatidae. The record is from RefSeq and is a predicted model, not a curated record.